UGCAAUAUCACAAACUUAAAUGGCCAAAAUCUCAACACUAGCCACUAUCCCAUAUAAUCCGAAAAAUUAUCAAUUUGACCCCAGAUAAAGUUUUACUUUACCAAAAAACCCACCUCACGCGAUUUUUUUUUUAACUCCGAUCUCUCAAAAGCGGCGGCAAUGGGUUUGCCGGAAUCCAUACGGCGGAGGACGGCGGCGUGAGAUCUUCUCCCGCCGACCAGCUGCCUUUAUGUCUCCGAACUCCUCUUCACUCUGCACCGGCGUCUCUGACGCACUCGGAUUGCGCCUCUCAGCCGUCGGAAUUCGAGAUGCCGUUUGCAAUUUCCCGCGCUUUCAUCGCGGCGGCGGACGCAUUGCUCGAGAGCGAAGAGGAGGUUUCCGGUAGCUAUUCAUCAUCGUGCAACUGCUACUCCGGUCUCCACAGAAAGGAGAAGCCAUCGCCAUCCUCAUGUUUGCCGCCUCUUCAUGUUGGCUAACUGCAAUCUUUAUGCAUAUAAACAGCUCUCUUAAGUGAAUCUCGCCCUCGUCUGCAGUUGAGGCAACCAUGCAGCAUUAGAUCUGAGACGGGUUAACGGAGAAAUUAGAUUAUACAAUGAAGGGAUUGGGACUAGCAGAGAUGAAUAGGAAGUGUUUUGGCACUACCUUUUUUAACAGUGAAAAAUGUGUGCUUUAUCUUUACUGAUCUUGUUAAACAUCUUCAUUGUUAGCUUUCCUUCAACUUAUGCAAACAUAUAUAAUGUUCUGUCUGUGUCAA
Salvia miltiorrhiza (redroot sage) is the source of this 754-nucleotide long non-coding RNA. RefSeq lists it as uncharacterized. The record is from RefSeq and is a predicted model, not a curated record. NCBI's taxonomy places the organism in Eukaryota, Viridiplantae, Streptophyta, Magnoliopsida, Lamiales, Lamiaceae. The transcript is spliced from 2 exons.